CCGGACAAAUCCACUGCGUCUCGGGGCCAUCGCCCACGGACGGGCGAUGGAGGUUUGCCACGACACGAUGUCGUGUCAAACCGACCCGACAAAAGCGGGGGAUUUUUCCGG
This is a regulatory RNA element of Oceanococcus atlanticus, 111 nucleotides long. Lineage: Bacteria; Pseudomonadati; Pseudomonadota; Gammaproteobacteria; Chromatiales; Oceanococcaceae. The record is from Rfam.